RNAcentral lists this transfer RNA (73 nucleotides) under Capra hircus (goat). It matches the Rfam family "tRNA". Rfam says of the family: Transfer RNA (tRNA) molecules are approximately 80 nucleotides in length. Their secondary structure includes four short double-helical elements and three loops (D, anti-codon, and T loops). The record is from Rfam by way of RNAcentral. RNAcentral also lists the same sequence under 1 other name. Lineage: Eukaryota; Metazoa; Chordata; Mammalia; Artiodactyla; Bovidae.
UCUCUGGUGGUCCAGUGUUUAGGACUCUGCACUGCCACUGCUAUGGCCCGGGGUUCAAUCCCUGGUUGGAGAA